RNAcentral lists this ribosomal RNA (253 nucleotides) under uncultured bacterium. RNAcentral describes it as "partial 16S ribosomal RNA". It matches the Rfam family "Bacterial small subunit ribosomal RNA", at positions 524 to 776 of the family's 1533-position model. The record is from RNAcentral.
UACGGAGGGUGCGAGCGUUAAUCGGAAUUACUGGGCGUAAAGCGCACGUAGGCGGUUAUGUAAGUUGGAUGUGAAAGUCCUGGGCUUAACCUGGGGAUUGCAUCCAAAACUACAUGACUAGAGUAGGGUAGAGGGAGGUAGAAUUUCCGGUGUAGCGGUGAAAUGCGUAGAGAUCGGAAGGAAUACCAGUGGCGAAGGCGGCCUCCUGGAUUCAUACUGACGCUGAGGUGCGAAAGCAUGGGGAGCAAACAGG